Molecule: ribosomal RNA, 468 nt
Filed under: uncultured bacterium
Lineage: Bacteria
Description: partial 16S ribosomal RNA
Rfam family: Bacterial small subunit ribosomal RNA
Source: RNAcentral
GACGAACGCUGGCGGCGUGCUUAACACAUGCAAGUCGAACGGAAAGGCCCUGCUUUUGUGGGGUGCUCGAGUGGCGAACGGGUGAGUAACACGUGAGUAACCUGCCCUUGACUUUGGGAUAACUUCAGGAAACUGGGGCUAAUACCGGAUAGGAGCUCCUGCUGCAUGGUGGGGGUUGGAAAGUUUCGGCGGUUGGGGAUGGACUCGCGGCUUAUCAGCUUGUUGGUGGGGUAGUGGCUUACCAAGGCUUUGACGGGUAGCCGGCCUGAGAGGGUGACCGGCCACAUUGGGACUGAGAUACGGCCCAGGCUCCUACGGGAGGCAGCAGUGGGGAAUAUUGCACAAUGGGCGGAAGCCUGAUGCAGCAACGCCGCGUGCGGGAUGACGUCCUUCGGGUUGUAAACCGCUUUCGCCUGUGACGAAGCGUGAGUGACGGUAAUGGGUAAAGAAGCACCGGCUAACUACGUG